AGCGACAAUGCAGUGUCCCAUUCACCCCCAUCGAGUUUCACUAUGAGAGAACGCAGGCCCAGUUCUUUGUUGAGGAUGCCAGCGUUGCCUUUGCACUGAAGGGUGUCAAUGGCAAGAUCUGGGAUGAGGCUAACGAAAGGAUCUCUAUCUUAAUCUACCCCUCUGGCACACCCCCCUCUGUGCAGAAGGAGCUGAAGUCAGAAAAGGUGGAGCAGACA
Ailuropoda melanoleuca (giant panda) is the source of this 218-nucleotide long non-coding RNA. RefSeq lists it as uncharacterized. The transcript is spliced from 3 exons. NCBI's taxonomy places the organism in Eukaryota, Metazoa, Chordata, Mammalia, Carnivora, Ursidae. The record is from RefSeq and is a predicted model, not a curated record.